This 403-nucleotide ribosomal RNA is filed under the name uncultured bacterium. RNAcentral's name for it is "partial 16S ribosomal RNA". It matches the Rfam family "Bacterial small subunit ribosomal RNA", at positions 28 to 526 of the family's 1533-position model. The record is from RNAcentral.
GACGAACGCUGGCGGCGUGCCUAAUACAUGCAAGUAGAACGCAGUUGGAACGGGUGAGUAACGCGUAGGUAACCUCCCCAUAGCGGGGAUAAAUAUUGGAAACGAUAGCUAAACCGAUUCUGUGAGAUGGAUCUGCGUUGUAUUAGCUAGUUGGUGAGGUAAAGGCUCACCACGGCGACGAUACAUAGCCGACCUGAGAGGGUGAUCGGCCACACUGGGACUGAGACACGGCCCAGACUCCUACGGGAGGCAGCAGUAGGGAAUAUUGGGCAAUGGACGAAAGUCUGACCGAGCAACGCCGCGUGAGUGAAGAAGGUUUUCGGAUCGUAAAACUCGUUUGUUAGAGAAGCGGUAUCUAACCAGAAAGCCACGGCUAACUACGUGCCAGCAGCCGCGGUAAUUC